This 994-nucleotide long non-coding RNA is filed under the name Ricinus communis (castor bean). Its description in RNAcentral is "long non-coding RNA (RCOM_LNC001277)". The record is from RNAcentral. Lineage: Eukaryota; Viridiplantae; Streptophyta; Magnoliopsida; Malpighiales; Euphorbiaceae.
UUAAGAAGAAUCAGAUAAGAUUACAUCAUGAAGAAAGUCUGGACAUUAACCCCAGACCUGGACACCAAACAAAGAACAAGCCUCACAUGCAAGAGCGUGUGCAGGCUUGUUUGUUGAGCGUUGCAUAAAGGAGAUUUCAACAUUCGCGAAUAGUGGAACUAGAGCCUUACAAUCAGUAAUAAUCAAACCAAAAGGAGAAGGAUCCUUGUUGUCACACAUUAGUGCUUGGAAAACAACCAAAACACCCAUCUCGAUAAUAAUAUCAAACCACUGUUGAUCUUUCAGUUAACUGAGAGCCUCUCUAACCCCCAAAGCCUCAGCCUCCUUUACUGAAAUAGAACCAAGUGCGCAAUAGAAAAGCCACCAAUCAUUUUGCCAUGGUAAUCUCGAACUACACACCCAAGACCAAUUUGAUUCCUUAAAAGGAAAAACAGCAGCAUCGACAUUGGCUUUCACUUUGUCAACAGGAGGACAAGACUAAACAAUACCUCUUAAAACCGAAGGACAGGUGGCACUGAACAGAGUGUUACAGUUCCUAACUGAUUGCCAUUCAAAUAGAUUAUCCCCAAUAUUAUUGACCAGGAAUCGAGCACAGUUCCACUUAUUUCUCCAAACCACAUCGUUUCUCUUCCGCCAAACCCACCAGCAGACCAUGACCAAAAUACAAGAAGUCUCCAAGUUGUUACGAGCAAUAUAGCUUCCAAAGAAAGUGGCAAUAACUGUAGAGAGAGCCCUAGCUGCAUUCAAACCAACUAAUAACCAGUAAUUGCGGGGCAAGAGGAUAGUAAGAAAGAACAUGAGUGGUGCCCUCAAGGUGAGAAUGACAAACUAGGUAAAGAGCAUUAAUAAUAACCUGUCUCUGACGAAGCAAGUCCAUAGUUGGCGAACAGUAAGAUUAAAUUACAUACCCUGUAAGGAAUUGGAAGCUUCCAUAGACGAUUCCAUAAAGGAUGAGCAUGCCUAUGGAAAUCCCCACAAAGCAAACGAUAACAAC